This 187-nucleotide small nuclear RNA is filed under the name Oryza sativa Indica Group (long-grained rice). Its description in RNAcentral is "U2 spliceosomal RNA". Lineage: Eukaryota; Viridiplantae; Streptophyta; Magnoliopsida; Poales; Poaceae. The record is from RNAcentral.
UUUUCUGGGAUUUUUCACAUGUGUAGGUUAUUUUUUGAAAAUUGAAAGAAGUUUUACGAUUUUUAUUUCAAUUUGAACAAAUUUUGAUGUUUUCUCCUUUUUAUUUGAGAUGCAGAUAACUGAUUGGUUUUUUUUGUUCUAUUAAUAUAUAUAUAUAUAUAUAUAUAUAUAUAUAUAUAUAUAGACA